UUUGCAGAGGAUGCUUCGGGUGCGGUCCCCGUCUAAGUGCCCUGGAACGGGCCGUCAUAGAGGGUGAGAAUCCCGUCUGGGAUGGGCGGCCGCGCCCGUGUGAAGCUCCUUCGACGAGUCGAGUUGUUUGGGAAUGCAGCUCUAAGCGGGUGGUAAAUUUCAUCUAAAGCUAAAUACUGGCCGGAGACCGAUAGCGCACAAGUAGAGUGAUCGAAAGAUGAAAAGCACUUUGAAAAGAGAGUUAAACAGCACGUGAAAUUGUUGAAAGGGAAGCGUUGUCCACCAGACUCGCCCGGGGGGGUUCAGCCGGCACGUGUGCCGGUGUACUCCUCUCCGGGCGGGCCAGCAUCGGUUUGGGCGGUUGGUGAAAGGCCCCGGGAAUGUAACACCCUCCGGGGUGCCUUAUAGCCCGGGGUGCCAUACAGCCAGCCUGGACCGAGGCCCGCGCUUCGGCGAGGAUGCUGGCGUA
RNAcentral lists this ribosomal RNA (469 nucleotides) under soil fungal sp. DM2-193. Its description in RNAcentral is "eukaryotic LSU rRNA". It matches the Rfam family "Eukaryotic large subunit ribosomal RNA", at positions 149 to 633 of the family's 3401-position model. Lineage: Eukaryota; Fungi. The record is from RNAcentral.